UAUCCCCCAAACUAAGGGGGGAUGAGAACACCCGACCGGGGUUCGACACAAAAACGCCGGGAGCGUUUUUGAACAGAGCUUGCUCUGGCCCCGAAGGGGCGAGCAAAGCGAGUCAAUCCCCCCCUCACCGCCA
RNAcentral lists this small RNA (133 nucleotides) under Salmonella enterica. RNAcentral's name for it is "RtT sRNA". It matches the Rfam family "RtT RNA". From Rfam's summary of the family: This family represents a bacterial cis-regulatory element known as RtT RNA. The exact function of RtT is unknown although it is thought that it may be involved in changing the cellular response in relation to amino acid starvation. Lineage: Bacteria; Pseudomonadati; Pseudomonadota; Gammaproteobacteria; Enterobacterales; Enterobacteriaceae. RNAcentral also lists the same sequence under 1 other name. The record is from RNAcentral.